RNAcentral lists this long non-coding RNA (3979 nucleotides) under Nicotiana benthamiana. RNAcentral describes it as "long non-coding RNA (NBEN_LNC036855)". The record is from RNAcentral. Lineage: Eukaryota; Viridiplantae; Streptophyta; Magnoliopsida; Solanales; Solanaceae.
AUGGAUCCACUCACCAAUGUUGGAGUAUCAAUGGUGGUCAAAGUCCCUAGAAGGCUAGUAAAAUGGUAGAACAUGUUCACAUUACUUGAGCAACGUGAUUUGAUGGGUAAAUUAGGGACUCUUAUUUCCUUGAUGGACAUCACCCCACGUCCUGACCUUGUAGAAGCAAUGUUGAAAUUUUGGGACCCAUAGGGAAUCGUAUUCAAGUUUGGGGAUCUUGAGAUGACAGCCACCUUAGCUGAGAUAGCUGGGUUAACCCGUUUGCCAUACCUAGACAAGGACUUGAUUUACACAAGGGCCCAUUCUAGCACCAAGUUCCUUAAGAUCAUAAGGAUGGAUUUGGAAGAUCACAUGGGGUGUCUAGAUCAAUCUUAGGGUACCUUUGAACUUUUUAUUCGAGAGGUUUGCUCGUCCUACAGGGUAUGAGACCUUUAUAGAUGAAUUUUCCAUAUCAUAUGGUUCUUGGAAGAAAAGGCGUCCUAUGGUCUUCACUAUUGCAUUUUUAGGUCUCCUGGUAUUUCUUUUGGAGGGUAAACAUAUUAUCACGUGUAUGGGAUCAAUAGCUUUUGCACUCUUCCAUGAUAAACACAGUAGUAGGGUCACCUUGGUUCCGACAAUUUUGGCAGAGAUCUAACGUGCUUCGACCAAGAUUCAAGAAGGUGGGAGGUUCGUUGAGGGAAGCAACUCGUUGCUACAGCUGUGGAUGAUGGAACACUUACAUCCUGCCACCAUGUUUGAGAAAGAUUUGAUUGACCGUUGUCUAAGAGAUCGAGCAAAGUACAUCGAGCAUAGGAUGACGUUCGAUAAAUUUGCCUUACCACUCAGAGUUCAGGAUUGAGUUGAUUAUUUAGGAUCCUUGACUGAAGAGAAGAUUUUGUGGUCAUAUCUAUGGAUUGAUUUGAAAAUGAUCCUAGCAGGAUCUCGCGUGCAAGACUUCUUGGUAAUGAUUGGACAUUGGUGUACUAGACCAUAUACCUAUGCUAGAGUGAUGCAUCAGCUAGGGAGGCAGCAAGAAGUCCCCUACAUUCCUGAUUCUCCUGACUUCACUCGGGAAUUUGACACUAUGCCGCACAGGGAGGUCGACAACCAAACCUAUUGGCGUCAUGCAAUGAAGAUGGGUAGGGUUACUUCCGCACCUGACCCACAUUCACCUGGGAAUACCCAUGAGUACUUCAUAUGGCUACAGUCUACUCAGUAGGGGAUUAGCAGACCAUUGCCCCAAUGUGUUAGAGGAGUAUUUGAUGAGGAGGCUGCCUCACGGAUAUUGCUUAGAUAGUUGAUUGAUCGAUUUACCCAGGCAGAGAAGGCCCAUGCGUCAGAAAAGGUUGGGGUCCGGAUACACUCCAGUCACUGAAGUCACAGUUGGCAGGGUCAGUAUCGAACAUGGGACAACACCAUGAAUACCUUACUAGAGUAAGCCUUCCAGAUGCAGGCGUGUAUUCCAGGGUUCUCAUUCCCAGCUUCGAGGUGUCCUUGUAGGGUCUAAUACAGAUCUUAGAUUCGACAGGAUUGACGGGGCCAUCUGGAUCUUCAUCAGACCCAUCCAGACCAGGACCGUCGCAUUCAGGAGCAGCUUGAGGAGUCAUUCAGUCUAGAUGUUUUGAGAUCGUCUUAUGUUGUAUUUUACUUUAGCGCCUUAUUUAGAAGUAUUAAGUUCUUUAGAUAAUGUCAAAGUCUGUCAUAGUGUAGUCGAAUAUGUCGUGUCUUUCCUUAUCGUAUUUCCCUUUGUGUUUUAAUAUCGAAAGGUUUUAAAUGAAAAAUCCCAAAUGAUUUUGUUUUUGGUUUAUUUUCCAUCACUUUUUCAGAACUACGCUCGGUCUGAUUAAUGAGGGACAUGAUACGUAGGCAACCUACAUCGGGUUCGAUCAAAACCAUUUUUGGUUCAAAAUAAAAAGAGAAAGGAAAAGAGAAAAAGGUGAUAAGAGGUGUUGGAAAAGAAAGAGAAGGAAGGAUCGAAAUGAGAAAAUUGGGAUGAUGCCAUAUGACUCUAUGACUCUCAAAGCCAUUUUAAAACCGUUAAUUUUUGUUAGGUGCAUUGCACGUAAUGUGAUAUUAUCAUAUGAUAAAUGCCCUAACGCUAACAUGGUGGUUUUGUGUUGUUGUCCUCUGUUACCUUCAUUAACUUUUAGGAAGGUGGUUAGUUUAUUGGCAUCCUGGCAAGUCAUCCCGACAACACCCGAUCAAAGCGUCAAACAGUCAUGGAUAGCAAGGAAAUAGACACUCGAGUUGUGGAUCCACCGAGGGAGAUUGUUGAGUCUGAAUCGGAACUGCAAGAGGAGGUCCGAAGGUUGAAGCAUCAAAUGGCAGAAAUGUAUCAAGCCUGAUUAAGGGACACCCUCCACCCUCGUUCCCUACCAACUACACAGAAAACCCUGCUUCCAUUCCACCACUCUCUCAAUCCAAGAUGCCCAAUACCAUUGAUCUUUCCUCACAAUACGCACCUGGACUUACCCCUUACCACAACUACCCCGACACUUCGGCCCAACCUUUUCAUGCUCCACCAGCCAAAACAACCUCAUACCCUGCUCCGACAUCUGCUCCUAUCUUUGUACCCCCUUCACAAGCUACCCUCCACCGAUCUUCUAGUGAGCCCGCAUUCCCCGCUCCAGAUACCCACUACGAUGCUUCGGAGCCCACCUUCAAAGUCCUAGAUCCUUACUCUUACACUCCCCAAUUUGAGCCUCAUGUUGAAACUGACAAACCACUCAAAAACACAGAGCAAGAUGAGAUGAUUAGGAAGGUACAGAGUCUGGAGCAAUCAUUGAGAAAUAUGCAAGGGUUGGGAAACCAGGUGAGUGUGGCCUAUAAGGACUUGUGUUUUUUCCCCGAUGUCCAACUGCCUGCCGGGUUCAAGAUGCCUAAGUUUUACUUGUAUGACGGACAUGGGUACCUUAUAGAUCAUUUGAGGGGUUAUGUCAGUAGGAUGAGAUGUGCCGGGGGGGGGGGGGAAAGAUGAAUUGCUAAUGGCAUACUUCAACCAAAGUCUGAGAGGGGCAGCUUUAAAGCCUAUAAGGAUUUGUGUUUGUUCCCCGAUGUCCAACUACCUACCGGGUUCAAGAUGCCUAAGUUUGACUUGUAUGAAAGACAUGGGGACCCUGUAGCUCAUGUAAGGGGUUAUUGCAGCAAAAGGAGAGGUGCCAGGGGAAAAGACGAAUUGUUAAUGGGAUACUUCAGCCAAAGUCUUAGUGGGGCAGCUUUAGAAUGGUACACUCGCUAGGACGUUAGGAGGUGGUACACCUGGGACGAUAUGGCUCAGGCCUUUGCCCGGUAUUUUCAGUACAAUAUAGACAAUACUCCAGACCACUUAUCUCUGACCAAGGUGGAAAAUAAACCCAGCAAAAGCUUUUGAGAAUAUGGAUUUCGAUGGAGGGAGCAAGCUGCACGAGUCAAUCCUCCGAUGGAAGAAGACGAGAUGGUUAAAUACGUUUCUUCAAGCCCUGGAGCCCACUUACUAUGGCCACUUGAUCUCAGCCAUUGGUAAGUCUUUCAAUGACGUGGUGAAGAUGGGAGAUGGUGGAAGAGGGCCUUAAGUCGAGUAAGAUCAUGAGUUACUCUACUGUAAAAGCAACAGGCAAUCCAGAGUGGUACUGGAAGUUUGUUAGGCAAGAAGAAGAAGGAAGAUGUCGCUACGGUUGUCUCCGGAUAAUGGCAUGGCCCGAGGGGUUCACCUCAUCAAUACACCCGUCCUCGACCCAAACCUCAAACCUACACCCAAGCUCCAUAUAAUCUACCCCAACAUUACUUUCCCCCACAGAAACCCCAAUACUCAACCAGGCCAUCCCAAUACUUUGUUCACCAUGCACAGUCAUAUGUUCAACCCCCUCAUUACCCGCAAUGGCGUGCUCCAGCUCCACAGAAUAUAUACCCAGCUCCAAAAAAUACCUAUCCACCUCCACAACCUUACGAAAACCCCAAUGGUUCAAGUUUUCGAUCAAGGCCAAAAUAAUGAAGAGAGAGGCAGCAACGAAAACAAACUUUU